Long non-coding RNA from Nylanderia fulva, 1249 nucleotides. RefSeq lists it as uncharacterized. The record is from RefSeq and is a predicted model, not a curated record. Lineage: Eukaryota; Metazoa; Arthropoda; Insecta; Hymenoptera; Formicidae.
CAUCAAGAAGCAUCUGUCCGGUCUGUCGUUCAACGCAGCUCUUAUAUACAGAUUGGUGUACCCUACGGCGCACCAAUCACGAGACUCCAUACGUACGGAGCCUCGUGAUUGGCUAUUGGGAUCAGUCUCCCGCGACGGCCGCGACGCGUGCGUGCGAGUCAGUCUCGUUCCAGACGUGCAGGACGUAGGUUGUCGGUUGUCGAGUUCUCGGUCUUCGCGUACGCUGCUAUCGUGUAAUGCCCAAUUCUGGAAUAUCGGCGACUCCUGAGUGGAUCGCGAGGAAGUCAUCAUCGUUCGAUGAGGCCCUCUGAUAAUUAGUCUUGAUAAAAGCAGUGAUGCGUCUGUUUUAUUCGUGCGUGAACAAGCUCCCGCAAUUUUCGUCUCGAUUUCGUGCGCGAAUAAUGCAAAUAAACGGGAGUGCAAAUCCGGGAGUGUUGUGUUUCGACGCGAUGGACCGAAUAAUCUUCUCGAAGAGCAUCUGGGCGUCGACGGGGACCCGGGAGUUUCGGAGGAUCGCGAAUCGAUGGACGUAAUCGAAGGGAGGAAGGACGUUCCGUCGUGAUUUUCGCUCGUCAUAGAGCUUCGCGAGGAUUCUCAAAUCGGCGAUUAAAAUUGUGAAGGAGUGGCGACCGUUGCUUGAAAAUUGUGGUACCGAGUGUCGCUGAGUGAUGUCGCGCAAGUGUCACUUUGCCAUGACACUUUCCGUUCACUUUGCGAUGUCACGAAAUUUAUUCGCGAGUGAUCUUAUUUUUUCGUAUUGUCCGUUCGUUUCGAUGUGCAUCUGUGUGUAGUAAAAUGCGAUAAAUAAUUAUUACAAAUAUAAAUAAUAAGAAAAACAGUGCAGUGAUCAGUGCCAAACCAUAUGGGAUUAUAGCAGAGCAGCAGUGGAACAUUAAAGCGGAUAUAUUAAAGCAGAGAGGUUAAUCGACUUAACGCAAUAUCAAUGUGGCUGUGUACUACAACUACGCUAUUGCACGUAUCGAUAGCAUUACUGAUAAGUGCGCGAGAUUCUCGAGUGUCGAACGGACGUUGCUUCGUGCGAUUAUAGUUUUUUUUAUUGUACGUAAAAUAUGCAUGCAAUUAAUUAACGUGUCGCGUCGGGAGUGCCGUCAAGUUUCGCGCGUCGGAAGUGCCGUGUUAAGUGUCGGGCGAUCGUAAUUAUUCGCGUUUUCGCGAGUGUCGUGAGUGCUAUGAAAGACCAAGCGAGGAGGAGGAGGCCGAAGGAGGCAUCUGGCGACAGCGGGGCAAC